RNAcentral lists this ribosomal RNA (874 nucleotides) under Alloeorhynchus sp. S213. RNAcentral's name for it is "bacterial SSU rRNA". It matches the Rfam family "Eukaryotic small subunit ribosomal RNA", at positions 477 to 1412 of the family's 1831-position model. Lineage: Eukaryota; Metazoa; Arthropoda; Insecta; Hemiptera; Nabidae. The record is from RNAcentral.
ACGAUACGGGACUCAAUAUGAGGCCCCGUAAUUGGAAUGAGUACACUUUAAACCCUUUUUCAAAAAGCCAUUGGAGGGCAAGUCUGGUGCCAGCAGCCGCGGUAAUUCCAGCUCCAAUAGCGUAUAUUAAAGUUGUUGCGGUUGGUGAAAUUCUUGGAUCGUCGCAAGACGCACUAGAGCGAAAGCAUUUGCCAAGUAUGUCUUAAUUGAUCAAGAACGAAAGUUAGAGGUUCGAAGGCGAUCAGAUACCGCCCUAGUUCUAACCAUAAACGAUGCCAGCCAGCGAUCCGCCGAUGUUCCUCCGAUGACUCGGCGGGGAGCUUUCCCCGGGAAACCAAAGCUUUUGGGUUCCGGGGGAAGUAUGGUUGCAAAGCUGAAACGGUGAAAUUCUUGGAUCGUCGCAAGACGCACUAGAGCGAAAGCAUUUGCCAAGUAUGUCUUAAUUGAUCAAGAACGAAAGUUAGAGGUUCGAAGGCGAUCAGAUACCGCCCUAGUUCUAACCAUAAACGAUGCCAGCCAGCGAUCCGCCGAUGUUCCUCCGAUGACUCGGCGGGGAGCUUUCCCCGGGAAACCAAAGCUUUUGGGUUCCGGGGGAAGUAUGGUUGCAAAGCUGAAACUUAAAGGAAUUGACGGAAGGGCACCACCAGGAGUGGAGCCUGCGGCUUAAUUUGACUCAACACGGGAAACCUCACCAGGUCAGGACAUUGGAAUGAUUGACAGAUUGAUAGCUCUUUCUUGAUUCAGUGGGUAGUGGUGCAUGGCCGUUCUUAGUUGGUGGAUCGAUUUGUCUGGUUAAUUCCGAUAACGAACGAGACUCUAGCCUAUUAACUAGACGAUUCCGGUAUCGAAGCUACCGGCGAUAUAUGUUCUUCUU